This 123-nucleotide ribosomal RNA is filed under the name Clostridium muellerianum. RNAcentral describes it as "Clostridium sp. P21 partial 16S ribosomal RNA". It matches the Rfam family "Bacterial small subunit ribosomal RNA", at positions 1420 to 1533 of the family's 1533-position model. The record is from RNAcentral. Lineage: Bacteria; Bacillati; Bacillota; Clostridia; Eubacteriales; Clostridiaceae.
CCCGAAGUCCGUGAGGUAACCGUAAGGAGCCAGCGGCCGAAGGUGGGGUUAGUAAUUGGGGUGAAGUCGUAACAAGGUAGCCGUAGGAGAACCUGCGGCUGGAUCACCUCCUUUCUAAGGAGU